This 593-nucleotide long non-coding RNA is filed under the name Pan troglodytes (chimpanzee). RNAcentral's name for it is "long non-coding RNA NONPTRT002245". Lineage: Eukaryota; Metazoa; Chordata; Mammalia; Primates; Hominidae. The record is from RNAcentral.
UGUGCCCCCGAGAGCCUGGGUGAUGCCCUCAGAGAGAGGGAGAAAGGCAGAGCAAGUCUGGGCCCAGGGCGGAGCUAAGGGGCUUCGACCUCACACGGUCCUAGCUCCAGACAUGGCUUGGCUAUCAGCUCAUGGUCUCACCUUAUGCCAAUUGUUUCUUCCUUCCAGGAUUCAGUUGCCUGUCUGAACAGUGACUACCAUGAACUCUACAUGCCGUCUACUUCUAACCCUCUUUGGCCUGACUCCAGCUUCAACACCUGGAAACAUGGCAAAAAGAACAGGGGGACAUUGGCUUGGACUGGAGCCAUGUGUCAGAGUUUGACUCAAGGAUAGUUGAUGUAGAAUGAAGAGAAUGAGCAGGGAACAAGAGUGUCUGCAGGUCGACUGAGGGUUGACUGAUGCAGGUUGGCCUUGGCUGGGCUUGGUUCCAAGCUGCAGGUUGCGUCCAGGUCGGCUCCAUGCAUUCCUCAGCACCCUCGGACCGUCUUGCAACCUCUAGCCUCUACUUUUCAUGAAGGAAGUCAACUCUGGAGAUAAAGAGAGUGAGCCCAAGCCACAGAAAGAAAAGGAGAAUGAAGACCGGGCGCUGUGGC